This 228-nucleotide ribosomal RNA is filed under the name uncultured bacterium. RNAcentral describes it as "partial 16S ribosomal RNA". It matches the Rfam family "Bacterial small subunit ribosomal RNA", at positions 104 to 334 of the family's 1533-position model. The record is from RNAcentral.
CGGGGUGAGUAAUGUCUGGGAAACUGCCUGAUGGAGGGGGAUAACUGCUGGAAACGGUAGCUAAUACCGCAUAACGUCGCAAGACCAAAGAGGGGGCCUUCGGGCCUCUUGCCAUCGGAUGUGCCCAGAUGGGAUUAGCUAGUAGGUGGGGUAACGGCUCACCUAGGCGACGAUCCCUAGCUGGUCUGAGAGGAUGGCCAGCCACACUGGAACUGAGACACGGUCCAG